RNAcentral lists this ribosomal RNA (856 nucleotides) under uncultured archaeon. Its description in RNAcentral is "bacterial SSU rRNA". It matches the Rfam family "Archaeal small subunit ribosomal RNA", at positions 1 to 833 of the family's 1478-position model. The record is from RNAcentral.
UUCCGGUUGAUCCUGCCGGACCCUACUGCUAUCGGGGGAGGACUAAAACAUGCAAGUCGUGCGCCUCCAAGCCAUGGUGGAGACGCGGCAUACGGCUCAGUAACACGUGGCUAACCCACCCUUGAGACGGAGAAAACCCCGGGAAACUGGGGCUAAUCCCCGAUAAGAGAAGACACCUGGAACGGGUCUCCUCUCAAAAGGCGCCUAGACCAUGCUUUUAGGCGCUGCUCAAGGACGGGGCCGCGGCCGAUCAGGUUGUUGGUGAGGCAACGGCUCACCAAGCCUAUAACCGGUACGGGCCGUGAGAGCGGGAGCCCGGAGAUGGGCACUGAGACAAGGGCCCAGGCCCUACGGGGCGCAGCAGUUGCGAAAACUCCGCAAUGCACGAAAGUGUGACGGGGCUACCCCGAGUGCCGUCCGCUGAGGGCGGCUUUUCCCCGGUGUAAGGAGCCGGGGGAAUAAGGAGAGGGCAAGUCUGGUGUCAGCCGCCGCGGUAAUACCAGCUCUCCGAGUGGUAGGGAUGAUUAUUGGGCUUAAAGCGUCCGUAGCCGGCCCGGCAAGUCUUCCGUUAAAUCCAACGAUUCAAUCGUCGGACUGCGGGAGAUACUGUUGGGCUAGGAGGCGGGAGAGGCCGACGGUAUUCUCGGGGUAGGGGUAAAAUCCUAUAAUCCCGGGAAGACCACCAGUGGCGAAGGCGGUCGGCUAGAACGCGCUCGACGGUGAGGGACGAAAGCUGGGGGAGCGAACCGGAUUAGAUACCCGGGUAGUCCCAGCUGUAAACGAUGCGGGCUAGGUGUUGGGGCGGCUACGGGCCGCUUCAGUGCCGCAGGGAAACCGUUAAGCCCGCCGCCUGGGG